This 486-nucleotide ribosomal RNA is filed under the name uncultured eukaryote. Its description in RNAcentral is "SSU rRNA". It matches the Rfam family "Eukaryotic small subunit ribosomal RNA", at positions 12 to 523 of the family's 1831-position model. The record is from RNAcentral.
UCCUGCCAGUAGUCAUAUGCUUGUCUCAAAGAUUAAGCCAUGCAUGUGUAAGUAUAAGUAUUGUACAGCGAAACUGCGAAUGGCUCAUUAAAACAGUUAUAGUUUAUUUGAUAAUCGAAAGUUACAUGGAUAACCGUGACAAAUUACAGCUAAUACAUGCAACAAGACCUCUAUGAGGUUGUAAUUAUUAGUACUAAACCAUUUGCUUCGGCAUUGUGAUGAAUCAUAGUAAUCGAACGAAUCGCAGAAUUCUGCGAUAAAUCAUUCAAGUUUCUGCCCUAUCAGCUUUGGAUGGUAGUGUAUUGGACUACCAUGGCAAUCACGGGUAACGGAGAAUUAGGGGUUCGAUUCCGGGAGAGGGAGCCUGAGAAACGGCUACCACAUCUACGGAAGGCAGCAGGCGCGAAAAUUGCCCAAUCCUGAUUCAGGGAGGCAGUGACAAGAAAUAACAACUCUCAACUUGUUGAGUAAGUGUAAUGAGGAUAA